Molecule: ribosomal RNA, 367 nt
Filed under: uncultured organism
Description: partial 16S ribosomal RNA
Rfam family: Bacterial small subunit ribosomal RNA
Source: RNAcentral
GGAGGGUCCAAGCGUUGUCCGGAUUUAUUGGGUGUAAAGGGUGUGUAGGCGGGCUUGUAAGUCAGAGGUGAAAUCCUACGGCUCAACCGUAGAACUGCCUUUGAUACUGCAGGUCUUGAGUCCUGGAGAGGUUGUUAGAAUUCGUGGUGUAGCGGUGAAAUGCGUAGAUAUCACGAGGAAUACCGGUUACGAAGGUUGACAACUGGACAGGUACUGACGCUGAGGCACGAAAGCGUGGGGAGCAAACAGGAUUAGAGACCCUGGUAGUCCACGCCGUAAACGAUGAUCACUCGGUGUCGCGGAGUAAUCUGCGGUGCCUAAGCUAACGCAUUAAGUGAUCCACCUGGGGAGUACGAUCGCAAGGUUG